Molecule: long non-coding RNA, 4431 nt
Filed under: Sus scrofa (pig)
Lineage: Eukaryota; Metazoa; Chordata; Mammalia; Artiodactyla; Suidae
Description: lncRNA (ENSSSCG00000062327.1)
Source: RNAcentral
GGCUAGGGGUCUAAUCGGAGCUGUAGCCACCGGCCCGUACCAGAGCCACAGCAACGCGGGAUCCGAGCCGCGUCUGCAACCUACACCACAGCUCACGGCAACGCCAGAUCCUUAACCCACUGAGCAAGGCCAGGGAUCGAUCCUGCAACCUCAUGGUUCCUAGUCGGAUUCAUUAACCACUGCGCCACGACGGAACUCCUCAAUUGUAUAUAAUUCUUUAUAGACUUUAUUGUGUUUGAGUGACCAAUAUUUGGGGGAGGGUUGCAUCUAUGUUCAUGGGAGGUACUGGUCAGGUACCUUCCUGGAAGGUCUUUGUCUGGUUUUGGUAUCAGGGUAAUGCUGGCCUUGUAGACUGAGUUAAAAACUAAGUAUCCCCCCUGCUCUGUCUUCUAAAGGAGGUAGUAGACAGUUGGUAUAUUUUCUUCUUUAAACGUUUGGUAGAAUUCAGUGGUGAACUCACCUGGGCCUGGAACUUUGUGUUUUAGAAGAUGAUAGGUUAUUAAUUCCCUUCCUUCCUCCCUCCUUUCCUUUCUUCUCCUUCCCCCCCUCCCCACUCCUUCUCUAUCCUUGGCAUAUGGAAGUUCCUGGGCCAGGAGUUAAAUCCUAGUCUGAGCUGCAGAUAGUGGAAAUUCCGGGGAUUGAACCCACAUCCUUACAGAGACAAUGUCGGGUCCUUAACCCACUGAGCCACAAUGGGAACUCCGGAGUUUUAGCUAUGUCCUUACUGAUUUUCUGCCUGUUAGCACUGUCCGUAUUUGAGAGAAGGGUAUUGAAGUCUCCAAAUAUGGUAUUGAAGUAAUUAUUUCUCCUUGCGGUUCUAUCCAUUUUUGUCUCGUGCAAAAGAGAUGUUUUGUUGUUAAGUACAUACAUAUUAAGAAUGUUUACAUCUUAGACAAUUGACCUCUUUAUCAUUAUGUGAUGCUUUUCUUUAUCCAUGAUACUUUUCUUACUUUGAAAUUGCUUUGUCUGAAAUUAAUGUGGCUGUUUCUGCUUUCUUUUGAUUUCUUUUGAUUGCAUUUUUCUCCAUUCACUUACUUCUAAUCUCUGUGUCUUUAUAUUUAAAGUGGGUUUCUUGUAGAUGGUAUGUAAGUCAGAUCAUGGUUUUGGAUCCACUCUGACAAUCUGUGUUGCAGUUGGUACAUUUAGACCAUUGAUAUUUGAAGUGAUUAUUGACAUAGUUGGAUCAAUAUCUACCAUUUUGUUACUGUUUUCUGUUUGUUGCCUUUCUUUGUUCCUGUUUGUGUCUUUCAAUUUUUCUGGCUUUUAUGGUUUUAGUUGAGCUUUUUUUAAUUUUUAUUUUUAAAAAUUACUCAAUGGAUUUUAUUACAUUUAUAGUUGUACAACUAUCAUUACAACCGAAUGUUAUAGCAUUUCCAUCCCUCAGUGCAUCCCCCCACCUGCAACCUGUCUCCUUUGGAAACCAUAAGUUUUUCAAAGUCUGUGAGUUGGUAUCUGUUCUGCAAAGAAGUUCAUUGUUGUGUCCUUUUUUUAGAUUCCACAUGUAAGUGAUAGCAUUUGAUGUUGGUGUCUCAUUGACUGACUGACUUCACUUAGCAUGAUAAUUUCUAGGUCCAUCCAUGUUGCUGCAAAUGCCGUUACUUCUUUGCUUCUAAUGACUGAGUAAUAUUCCAUUUUGUGUAUGUACCACAUCUUCACCCACUCCUCUGUUGACGGACAUUUAGGUUGUUUCUAUGUCUUGGCUAUAGUGUGUAGUGCUGCAAUGAACAUUGGAGUACAUGUGUCUUUUCAAGUCAUGGUUUUCUCUGGGUAGAUGCCCAGGAGUGGGAUUAGUUGACUUUUUUUUUUUUUUUUUUUGUCUUUUUAGGGUUGCACUCGAGGCAUGUGGAAAUUCCCAGGCUAGGGGUCUAUCAGAGCCACAGCUGCCAGCCUACACCACAGCCACAGCAACGCCAGAUCCGAGCCACGUCUGCAACCUACAGCACAACUCAUGGCAAUGCCAGAUCCUUGACCCACUGAGUGAGGCCAGGGAUGGAACCUUCGUGGUUCCUAGUCUGGAUUCCGUCACUACAGGAACUUCAGUUGAGCAUUUUUUUUUAAUGAUUCUAUUUUCUUGCCUUUCUCAGCAUACCAGUUUUCUUUGCCUUUUUUUAGUAGUUGCCCUAGAGUUUGCAGUAUACAUUUAUAAUGAAUCCAAGUCCAUUUUCAAAUAAUAUUAUGCUACUUUGUGGUUAGUGUGCAUACCUUAUAAUAAUAAAAUAAUCCUAGUAAUCCUCCCUUCUGUCCCUUUUAUCAUUGCUGUUGCUCAUUUCAUAUAUAGAAUAGAUAUAAGCAUACAUAAGCAUAUAAAAGCAUAUAUAUAUACACACAUUCAUGAUAUAUGUAUAUAAGCGUACAUAAUUGAAUAUAUUGUUGUUUUGAAUAAAAUAUCUUCAGGUCAGUUAAGAAUAAGAAAAAAAAAUUAUUUGCUCUUUUGUUCCUUCUUUGAUUCUAUUCCUUUUAUGUAGAUCCGAAAUUCUGACCUAUAUUAUUUUCCUGCUCUUUAAAGAGCUUAUUUUGACACUCCUUGCAGGCAGGUCUACUGACGACAAAUUCCCUCAUGCUUUGUCUGGCAAAGUAUUUCUCCUUUACUUUUGAAAGAGAAUUUCACAGGAAACAGUUCUAGGUUGAGGUUUUUUCUCUCAACACUUUAUUUGUUUAUUUAUUUAUUUAUUUAGUCUUUUUGCCUUUUCUAGGCCGCUCCCGCCCUAGAAGGUUUCAAGGCUAGGGGAGCUAUAGCCGCCAGCCUACACCACAGCCACAGCAACACAGGAUCCAGCCGUGUCUGUGACCUACACCACAGCUCACAGCAAUGCCAGAUCCUUAACCCACUGAGCGACGCCAGGGAUCAACCCGCAACCUCAUGGUUCCUAGUCGGAUUCGUUAACCACGUGCCAUGAUGGGAACGCCCUCUCUCAACACUUUAAAUUUCACUCUACUCUUAUCUGAGAAGUCAAAUAUAAUUGUCUUUGUUCCUCUGUAGAUGAGGUGUCUCCUCUACCCCUGGCUUUUUUCAAGAUUUUUCCUUUAUCUUUGUUUUUUUGCAAUUUGAAAAUGAUAUGCUGAGAUGUAGUUUGUUUGCUUGUUUGUUUGUUUUACCCUGCUUGGUGUUCUCUGAGAUUCCUGGACUGUAGUUUGGUGUCUGACAUUAAUUUGGGGAAAUUCUCAGUUGCUGCAACUGUUCCUUGUAUUUCUUUUCUAUGUUUAUUGGGGUUUUUUAUUUUCUGUUUACUAGACCAACUAUUUUCUCACUUCCAGUCUUACAGAACCUUUUCUCAUUCUAGAUUUUUUUGCAUCUUCAUGCCUUGUGUUCUGAUAUUUCACAGUGAUCUUCAUCGUUCAGUUUAUAAGAUGUUCUUAUUCAGUUAUUUCAUCAUAGGUCUUCAUUGUUCAGUUUAUAAGAUGUUCUUAUUCAGUUAUUUCAUCAUAGGUCUUCAUGUUCAGUUUAUAAGAUGUUCUUAUUCAGUUAUUUCUCACACUCAUCAUUCAUUCUAGAAUUUCUCUUUCUGGUGGUCUUCCUAGAUUGAUUCUCUGUGCAUCCUUGCUUGACUAUUUUCCUUAUCUGUUUUACUCUUCUUUCCAGAUUUCAUUGAUUCCGUUUCUCAGAGCUCUUUGUCUUUUGACUUCUUUAUCUAAAUAUUGGUGUAUGUCUUGUGGUUGAAACCUGUGACAUAUCUGCCAGCCAUUUGGGUCACUCUUCUAUCUGGCCGCCAAGGACAUCCCCUGUACUCCCGAAUUUUUAGGCUUUAAUGUUUACUGAUGCCUGUAAUGGAAUCGACUACUUAAGUUGAAAAGGCUUAUGCUUUCUUACAACAUAAUGGUUUCAUUAGAAUUUCUAAAGGUUUUCGUCCAAGCUCAUGACACUUGACAUUUCUUUAAAACGUUUAUAAUCAUUGAUUCGACCCAGUUCUCAUGUGGUUCCCGUGAUUUCACUUCAUUCCCAUCACUUUUAAGACAAUUCCCCUUAUUUAGAGUCAAUUGAGUAGAGAUACCCCUCACCCGAGCUUGGUCAGUCAGAUGUCUCCCAGGAAUUUUGGAACUCCACCUGAGAUUCUGGGCUAUGCCCAUUGAACUCAUGUGCCAUGCCUAAGACUAUGGUCUUGAUGUGGUCAUGGUCUUGGAAAAACCAGAACGUAACGAAAGUGAGUGAGAAGGUGUCAGAAUCAGGCAGGAAGAGAGGACAGCCCAGUUUCCUGUGGGCUGUGCGUGCUUCCCUGGCUUUGAGUUCUGGGAGGCACUCCAUCUGGCGUAUGUGCCCAUUUAUCUAAGAGCGCUCUACUCCGGCUCCUCUCCAGAAACAUUCUAUCCCUAUUGCAUGGCUGAAAGAAGAGCACCCAAGUCAGAAGAUUAGUAUCUUUGCAAGUUGUUAGGACUCUGACCAUAAUCAUUCAUCUGUGACACAGCAGUAAGACUCUCUGGCUCAAAAGGUGGCAG